UACGGAGGGUGCAAGCGUUGCUCGGAAUUAUUGGGCGUAAAGCGCACGCAGGCGGCGAGGUAAGUCAGUUGUGAAAUUCCCGGGCUUAACUUGGGAACUGCAGCUGAUACUGCUUUGCUUGAGUACGGAAGAGGGGAGCGGAAUUCCCAGUGUAGAGGUGAAAUUCGUAGAUAUUGGGAGGAACACCGGUGGCGAAGGCGGGAUCCUGGGCCAGUACUGACGCUGAGGAGCGAAAGCGUGGGGAGCAAACAGG
This 253-nucleotide ribosomal RNA is filed under the name uncultured bacterium. RNAcentral's name for it is "partial 16S ribosomal RNA". It matches the Rfam family "Bacterial small subunit ribosomal RNA", at positions 524 to 776 of the family's 1533-position model. The record is from RNAcentral.